GAGGUCAAGCAAAUCCCAUAAAGUUGUUCUCAGUUCGGAUUGUAGUCUGCAACUCGACUACAUGAAGCUGGAAUCGCUAGUAAUCGUAGAUCAGCAUGCUACGGUGAAUACGUUCCCGGGUCUUGUACACACCGCCCGUCACACCACGAGAGUUUGUAACACCCGAAGCCGGUGGAGUAACCUUUUAGGAGCAAGCCGUCGAAGGUGGGACAAAUGAUUGGGGUGAAGUCGUAACAAGGUAGCCGUAUCGGAAGGUGCGGCUGGAUCACCUCCUUU
This 276-nucleotide ribosomal RNA is filed under the name Staphylococcus aureus. Its description in RNAcentral is "partial 16S ribosomal RNA". It matches the Rfam family "Bacterial small subunit ribosomal RNA", at positions 1259 to 1533 of the family's 1533-position model. The record is from RNAcentral. Lineage: Bacteria; Bacillati; Bacillota; Bacilli; Caryophanales; Staphylococcaceae.